UCUUGGUCAGAAGAUACCCUUAUACUUAUUUAACGCAUGAUCUAACAGUAUCAGGCUGAAUUCUUAUUCCCACCACAGGAACACCACCUUUCAGCCUCUGUUACUGUAACAAAUGUUGCCUACAUUUUUUUUUGGGUAUGACCAGACACAUUAUUGUUACCCAGGAAUCCUCUUGUGUGGAAAUGAAGAAAAUCAAUUUCAUUUCCCCAAAGAGGAAGUAAAGUGUCUCAGGUCUGGCAGUUGCUCUUUUAUCAGAGGGGUUUUGAAUGUAUUAAAAUGAGAAGGACAAGAAAUUGAGUGAAGAUUCUGUGUCUCAGAACUGCCUAGGGAUACUUUGAGAGUGACGGAGGUGCCCCGAAGUGGAGAACGGAAUUGAGUCUGCAUCAACUCACAUUAUUAUGGUUGUAUCAGGUUAAAAAAUAAGCAGUGUAACAACCAGAAUGUCUGAUGUGGUCCA
This 457-nucleotide long non-coding RNA is filed under the name Bos taurus (domestic cattle). Its description in RNAcentral is "long non-coding RNA NONBTAT014278". Lineage: Eukaryota; Metazoa; Chordata; Mammalia; Artiodactyla; Bovidae. The record is from RNAcentral.